AACCUACCCUCAGGUCUGGGACAACUCCGGGAAACUGGAGCUAAUACCGGAUAAGACCACGGAGUCCUCGGACUCAGUGGAAAAAGAUGGCCUCUUCUUGAAAGCUAUUGCCUGUCGAUGAGCCCGCGUACCAUUAGCUUGUUGGUGAGGUAACGGCUCACCAAGGCGACGAUGGUUAGCUGGUCUGAGAGGAUGAUCAGCCACACUGGAACUGAGACACGGUCCAG
Molecule: ribosomal RNA, 227 nt
Filed under: uncultured bacterium
Lineage: Bacteria
Description: partial 16S ribosomal RNA
Rfam family: Bacterial small subunit ribosomal RNA
Source: RNAcentral